AAUACAUGAUAAAAUAAUCCAAAGACAGUAGGUACAUUAAGUAUAAGGGAAACCGCCUACCGAGGAUGAGCUUCAAUACUGAAACAGUGUUAUUAUGCUCCUUCGUCGGUUUUCGCGGAGGAGCUUAUUUUAUGUAUAC
Non-coding RNA from Clostridiales bacterium GWF2_38_85, 139 nucleotides. Lineage: Bacteria; Bacillati; Bacillota; Clostridia; Eubacteriales. The record is from Rfam.